Molecule: long non-coding RNA, 316 nt
Filed under: Elaeis guineensis (African oil palm)
Lineage: Eukaryota; Viridiplantae; Streptophyta; Magnoliopsida; Arecales; Arecaceae
Description: long non-coding RNA (EGUI_LNC018981)
Source: RNAcentral
AAACCAACCAAACUCUAUAGAGCUUAAAUCAAUUAAUAAUGGUGGCUUCUUUUGGUUCCCAUGGUUUGGUACUUCGCACAACGGCUCUCUACCUUUCUAAAGGCGUCAGUGCCCUUCUUUUCCUUUGCUUGGUCGAUUGGUUUACCUUGAAUCAAUGCGAAUAUAAAUCCAAAGAAACCAAUAAAACUAGAUUUGUUUAUAGAGGUUGCGUGAUCCAGCCGGACAAGACUAACAUGAAAAUUUAUCAGGCGAUACAAGAAUCGAUCCAAGAUCUUGAUCCCAUAGCCACAUGGUUUAGGUGUAGAGUAUAAAUAAU